This 301-nucleotide ribosomal RNA is filed under the name uncultured bacterium. Its description in RNAcentral is "partial 16S ribosomal RNA". It matches the Rfam family "Bacterial small subunit ribosomal RNA", at positions 509 to 807 of the family's 1533-position model. The record is from RNAcentral.
CAGUCGCCGCGGUAAUACGUAGGGUGCGAGCGUUAAUCGGAAUUACUGGGCGUAAAGCGUGCGCAGGCGGUUCGUUAAGACAGAUGUGAAAUCCCCGGGCUUAACCUGGGAACUGCAUUUGUGACUGGCGAGCUAGAGUAUGGCAGAGGGGGGUAGAAUUCCACGUGUAGCGGUGAAAUGCGUAGAGAUGUGGAGGAAUACCGAUGGCGAAGGCAGCCCCCUGGGCCAAUACUGACGCUCAUGCACGAAAGCGUGGGGAGCAAACAGGAUUAGAUACCCGAGUAGUCCCUGUCUCUUAUAC